CGUAGGUGAACCUGCGGAAGGAUCAUUCAUAAUAAGUGUUUUAUGGCACUUUUUUAAAUCCAUAUCCACCUUGCGUGCAAUGUCAGGGUUGAUUUUUCUCUCGAGAGGAUCAGCCCCAAACAUCAACUAUAUCUCAACUCUUUGUCUGAAAAAUAUUAUGAAUAAAACAAUUCAAAAUACAACUUUCAACAACGGAUCUCUUGGCUCUC
This 209-nucleotide unclassified non-coding RNA is filed under the name plant metagenome. Its description in RNAcentral is "partial contains small subunit ribosomal RNA, internal transcribed spacer 1, and 5.8S ribosomal RNA". The record is from RNAcentral.